RNAcentral lists this ribosomal RNA (497 nucleotides) under uncultured bacterium. Its description in RNAcentral is "partial 16S ribosomal RNA". It matches the Rfam family "Bacterial small subunit ribosomal RNA", at positions 28 to 507 of the family's 1533-position model. The record is from RNAcentral.
GAUGAACGCUGGCGGCGUGUCUAAUACAUGCAAGUCGAGCGAACAGAUAAGGAGCUUGCUCCUUUGAAGUUAGCGGCGGACGGGUGAGUAACACGUGGGUAACCUACCUAUAAGACUGGGAUAACUUCGGGAAACCGGAGCUAAUACCGGAUAACAUUUAGAACCGCAUGGUUCUAAAGUGAAAGAUGGUUUUGCUAUCACUUAUAGAUGGACCCGCGCCGUAUUAGCUAGUUGGUAAGGUAACGGCUUACCAAGGCGACGAUACGUAGCCGACCUGAGAGGGUGAUCGGCCACACUGGAACUGAGACACGGUCCAGACUCCUACGGGAGGCAGCAGUAGGGAAUCUUCCGCAAUGGGCGAAAGCCUGACGGAGCAACGCCGCGUGAGUGAUGAAGGGUUUCGGCUCGUAAAACUCUGUUAUUAGGGAAGAACAAAUGUGUAAGUAACUGUGCACAUCUUGACGGUACCUAAUCAGAAAGCCACGGCUAACUACGUG